Molecule: long non-coding RNA, 10941 nt
Filed under: Ananas comosus (pineapple)
Lineage: Eukaryota; Viridiplantae; Streptophyta; Magnoliopsida; Poales; Bromeliaceae
Description: long non-coding RNA (ACOM_LNC016871)
Source: RNAcentral
AUAAAAGGAAAGUAUUAAAUAAAAUAUAAUGAAAAGAACUAACCUCCGCGUAAUCUUGUUUUCCAGAAAAAAGAUGUAGUCCUCCACUAUAUCACAAAAAUUAUAAUUGACAAUGUCAUAACUUUCUCUUAUGACAUUUUCAAUACUUUUACAAUCAUCUAGCUUUGACUUGCUGCAUGUGUUGUUUCUGGAGCUUUUUAUGAACAACAAAAUUAAGUGAAUAAACAAAUAUAGUGUAUACUAAGAUAUAAUGUCUAAACUAGUAAGACAAAUUAGUUAUAAAAUAUAUUACCCUUAAACGAAGAAAUUUUCACAUGAUGUCCAGUCGCGCCUUCGCUAACAUAAAUAUUGUCAAACGAAAAAUCAGGAUGACAAACGCCCAUUAAAUGCGCGUAUUCAAGUCCGUCAGAAAUACCACUGAAAACAAAAAUAUUUAAAAGAAAAAAGAAUAUUUUUAGAUUUAAUAAAAAAAUAUUCAUAUAAUAAUUAAUUCAAAUCUUACGGAAAAAUUAACUUGUCGUAUGUCUCGGAUAUACCGUACACGUGGUCUUUUUUAUUGACAAAUAAAUUAUUCUUAUAAUGUUUAAUAUAGUUCUUUAGUUUACAACUAAUGACUUCUGUGAUUACCAAGAAUUUCGCUAUGUGAUAAUUCUCGAACCGAAGUAUGUUUUGAUGGCUUAAAACGUUUCCGAGAUUGUAAGAAUCUACCGUAAUAUGUUUUGUGACUAAAACUUCAAUUGUCUCCUGAAGAUGAUCAUCUUUGUACUGUCCAGUUCUAAAACCAAGAUUUUUUCCGAAUACUUCUCAAGUGCUCUAUCACCGAUAAUUAAUUUAUUUUCAAAGCUAUGCUGUCUCUCGCUCUGCAAAGAAACGGGUUUAAAAUUAUGAAUAUAAUUGACAAAAAAAAGGUUGUUAAUUUUGUAGAUAAAUUACAAAUAUUACAAGAAAAAAAGUUCGAUCUCAAGAGAACUAUAUGCCCAAGUACAACUAUGUAGCAUAGGUUAGUUGUAUCUGAGCACAUAAUUUCUAACAUUGAGGAACUAAAAAUAAAUGUAGAAACUAUGUGCGCAAAACAACAUAGGGCCUCUUUAGCCUAAUUUCUGAAAAAGUGACUUCUGCAUAAGUGAUUUUAGUUUGGAGAUAAAUUAAAUAUUGGCACGUGAAAUUUAAAAUUGCAUUUAUAUCCUUUUGGAUUGUAGACAUAGUAUUUUUUAGCAUAAUGCCAUUAAAAUUUAGAAUCACUUGUAAAAAAGUAUGAAAUAAGACAAAAGAGUAUAGAGCAUAAACAUAUGGAUAUACCGAUACAUAAAGUGCAUGAAUAUACGUCAUCCUUUUUUUAUUUAACAUAUUGUUGUAAUCGUUUUCCUAUCAUUGCAUGAUGUCUUAUAUGUUAUAUCAACCUACGUAGACUGCAAACAUACUAGUUCAUUAUGUAAACAGUGAGAUAUAUCAAAACAUGUGGAUUUUAUUACAGAUAAAAUUACAGAUAAAAGUAUCAAUUGCGUACCUUCUUUCUUGUGGAGCGUAUAGAGCAAAAACAGUUGGAUUUUGUCACAAAUACGUGUGUUAAUGGUUGUUAUUUACACUAAAAAAUUAAAAAAAUCAUACCUGUCUUAUGUGUUCGGCAUAACUUUUACCAGGAUGGUACCUAACAAGAAUUUAAAAAGUCAAAGAGUGAAACUAUUACUUCAGUAACUAUGCUUUUAGUGCUUGCUAUCUUUCUCUGAGGUCGGAAUCCUAAAUAUACUAGGAUUGGGUACAUCUUUGGUUGAGCAUUAUACAUAAUGCAUUAGAGGCUAUUGAGGGUGUAGUACGAUCAAGAGAGAGAGAGUCUCUUGAGUGUGCGUACCAGAGAGAAAAAGAGAGAGAGAGAGAAUAGCCAAGAGUUGAGUGCACCUAGUGCACGGGUGCAUGCGAAUGAUUAUCUUCUUUGGGGUUUUAUAGAAGUCGAGAGAAGGGUAAGAGAGAUUCAAAAAGAAGGCUCGGGUUGUAGCUACUCAGUUGUAGAAGAGGAGUCAGGUGUAAUCUUCUCUUAAUUAAUGAAUCUUACUUUACCCGCAUAUUUUUCUCUUUUAUGAUUGUAUCAGCUUCUGCUGAGGAGACGAGUUUAUGGUAAAAACUCGAUUUGACGCUUCCGUUGCGGAAUCCCAACAAUCGGUACCGGAUCCACAGCAGUCGGUAUUGAAGCAGGUUGCGGAUUCACAAGAUCCGGUACCGGGGCAAGUACCGGAUUCCCAACAAAAACUGUUUCAAGUGUAUAUAUAUGGUGAAUUUUGUCCUAUGUGGGAUAUUUUUAAUUUAUAUAAUAUAAAAUAUUUAAAUAAUAUAUUGUAUCAUAAAAAAAAAUCUUUAAUGCAUAUUUUAGAGUUGAUUUACAGUGCAAGAGGCAUGUUCAAAAUUUUUAUUGGAUCGAUGUGUGAAAAAUUCCCAUUUAUUUAACCUGCUUCUCUUAGAAACCUUUUCUUCAGUAUGACCGAAUCGUCAAUUUAUAUAUUCUAUAGAUUAUGUAGUAAUUACAUUAUUUUAUACAGCCUACAUGAAAAAGAUUGUAGAGAGAUCUAAUAAUAUAAUUUAUAUAAAUCAAUAAAGAAAGAAAAAUACAAUAGUAGGAAGAAAUUAUUUUACGUAUCCGUCUAUGAAUAAAUUUUGUACAAUAAAUGUCUAAAAUUCUAUUAUAAAAAUAUGAAGUCUGUAAUUUUUAUAUAUAGAGUUUUAGUAUUUUGUAGAUCAUAUAUUAAAUUAUAUUUUAAUUUCACAACACUAAUUUUUUUAUUUACUAUCUAAACUUUAUCUUAUAUAAAAAAAACAAAAAAAAAAACUUUUCUCGUUCUCUAUUGCCGUUCUUCAGUUCUUCCUUUCCCAUCCCUAUAAUUUAGAAAAAUCUCUUUAAACACAAGCUUUUUAAACAUAAACUGUUUGAAUUUUUCUAGACCCCAACAUAUUCUAAAAUUCUAUCAUAAAAGUUUAGAUAUUAAUUUUUUUAGACAUUGAUAUUUUAUAUGAUUUAGAUUGACUUUAUCAAACUAGAUUUUAAUUUUAAAAUAUUAAUAAAAUUGAUUAGUAAUAUGCUCGGUUUAUGUAGUUUAUUAGUAGAUUGUACACAUGCAAUAUUUCUCCUAUUUAAUGGAGAUUUGGAAGUUGAGAAUUAGGGGAACAAGUGUGACCAACCAACUCUCUUUCAAUGUGGUAAGAAUAGAAAUGCAUAGUGAAUUUUAUUUUAUUUUUAUAGUAUUUAAUCAUUGAAAAAUAAAAUAAAAUAAAUUUAGUGCAAGUUUGUGCAUUUAGUUGGGCGACACCUGUCUUUGUAUGCUUGUCCCAACUCUACUUUUAUAAUAUGUAAUGUAAUGUAAUGCAAUAUGUAGUGCAGUAAAUGUGAAGUGAAAUGCAACAAGCUGCAAAUUAAUAGUACCAGUUGUCCAUCUUUACCCUCAGUUCUUUAGUUAUCCUGUAAACCAAAAUUUAAAAAUAGUAAUGAGAACUAAAAUAAAAGUUUUGAAUUAUGGCACCACAAAACAAAAGGAUAAAAAAAAGUAUAUUUAUAUGAACGGGUUUAAAUUAGUUCGGAGUCACAGGAAGGGAACCAGAGGUGAGCUCCGUUCCCUGAUGGGCGCCGCGAGUAGGUAGGCACCCAUGUGGCGUGAUUGGUGGACUCUAUCUAAUUGAUUUUCAAAAAAAAAAAAACUCUCUCAACCCAUUAAUAGGGGCAAUGAAUGAGAAAAAGAGAGUGACCGGGAGGGAGGGAGGGGACUAUCCCACAUACAUAGUCUCCAAAGUACAGACAUCACUCGCUCCAGCAAACAAACCAACAUAAGUAUGCACAUGAACCAAAAUACCCCAAAACUACUUGUGGAAGGUACUACUCUAGCACUGCAACCCGGGAAGGGAUCUAGCUCGUGACUCUCUUUCCAUGAUCAGUAUCAGCGACAGCAGCAGCCGCAGAAAAAGGCUCUGCAAAAAGGGGUCAACAACUGGGUGUGAGAACUAGUGCAAAAAGUAGUCCUCAGUGGGUACCGCUAUCGACCUCAACGACUCACCCACUAAGUCUACAGAAAGUAUGCUCAAGGAUAGUAAAGGAAGCUGGAAAAACUCUACAGCUACAUGCCACUAUACUAUCUCUAACUAACACUAGCUAUCUGUAGAUAUAAUCAAGAUGCAAUCUCUGACCUAAUCUCACUAGGGACUGUGAACGCACCCGUCCCGCCUGUCGAAGCUACACCAACCACCACCACGCUGGGUAAUUGGUGAAGAGCAAGUCCACACUGAACACUACGACAUCUACGCAAACGCAUAAAGCACGACUCCGGAGUGGCACUCAUGAGCACUACCCAACCGAGUAUGCAAGCGUAUCUCUGUCGAGCUCAAUCAGGCUCUCACAGGCUAUAAUCAAAGAAAAUGAGUUUAACUGGUGUAACAACCAAAGCUCAUGUGCCCUCGGCACAAUUUGAUGCAAAUACAGAAAUCUGGGUCCACUGUCAACCGCGACAGCACCCGACUGUUUGGAACAGUCUAUACACUACUAUAAAAAUCAACUCGGCUCCUCAGCGCGAGCGUAAACUCAACCUACACUCAUCCGAGCAUCCACCUCGCACUAACAGUGGUGGUACAAAAAUCUGGGUUCACGGUCAAUCCCAAUGGCACCCGACAGUACGAAAUAGUCUACAUACUACUAUAAAAUAAGCUUGGCAUCCCAGUACGAGCGUAAACUCACCCUACACUAAUCUGAUAACUACCGUAUACAAACAGCAGCGAUAGGAACAAACCAUAGCUCCAAAAGCUAAAUCUGGUAAUUUUCAGAAAAUGACAGUGUAGGAUCUAUAGUUUUCUCCUAAGUCAAUUUCAAGUCCAACAUGUAAAAUGAUACAACUAGCUUAACUCCAAAUUCAGAUUUAAAUACUAAUUCAUGAAUUCGAGUACUAGCAAGGAUAACCCAAACAACAAGAAACACAUGUUGACGUUGAUAAAACUUAUAAGGAAAUCCAACGAUUUCGGUACACUUCAACCCACCUCGUAAAGCUAAUCCAACUACGGCGAGAAGUCAAAAGGAGAGGAAUCACGCGCUUGCCCGGCCUCCAACAGUGCAACCGCGACACCCUCAAGCUCGAACGGCUCUCCGACGUAAUGUCGACGUCGAUCAAAGCUCAAGCCGUGGUCUCCACUAAGCUCACGACUCCUACCUAGAGAGAGAGAGGAAAUAGCAACAAGAGGCUCACUCCCUGCCUCUUUACACGUAUAAGAAGCGGUGGGGAUAAGGGUGAUAUAAACGAUGCAUAAAAUGACCAAAAGGCCCCUCACCUACUCAAAAAUCCAGCUGGAGAACCGGUACCUCACUUGAAUUCCGAUACUCGGGCCUUCAGCGCGCAGCUUCGCACACUGGGUACCGGUAUUAUCACGCUCCGAGCCCGCCUAUUUGGUCGGUUUUGGGCACGCCAACAGACCGCCGAACGGACAGGGUUCCUCUGUACCGCGGACAGAGUCUCCCCUGUACGUCCAAGGCGUCACAACCUAUACAAUACGCGUGGUUCCAACCAGGAACAACAUACAAACAAAGAUUGCAUAAGGAAGGUAUCGAAAACAUAAACAACUAAGUUAUUACAUGUAUUCAACUAACAUAUUACUUAUUACAUCACAUAUUGCCAUUCCUUUUUAAUUCUUUGAUUCUUACUUUCAAAUACAAUCAAGUUUCCAACAUAAUUAUUACAACAUUGUUCUUUCCAUUACUAAACCCCUAAGCUAAGCCGACUUAGGGUAUCGCUAUCUCCGGUCUCGGUGGUAGGGCGCUAACUACGGAGCUACGCCCUCACCUCGCUCCGCCGCGCCGCUCACGUGUGAACCUGUACCCCCAAAAAUAAUACGGGGGUGAGAACUGUUGUCCAUAGUUCCCAGUGGGUACGGCCACCCAAGGAAAAAGCUCGACCCACCAGGUCCAAAGGAGGCACUGUAAACAUGUUAGUCCAACAGAUAUCCACAAAUAAUAUUUAUGCAAAUAUUGAAUACAUGUUUAUGCCUCAAGACAUGCAAUAUGUAAAUCAUGCAACUCCUGCAAGUAGAUUAAUUGAUUCUACUCUCUAUCAUUUACCAUUCUUUAUAUUAUUAGCAAUUCUUUAUCACUUACCAUUCUUUACUCUUUAUUCUUAGCCAUACUUUACUCAAUUGUCAUUCUUUUCUAAGAUUACAUUUACCUUAGCCAACUAUGCCACUCAACUCGGUCUUGAGUCAAUUCAUGAUGAAUGCAAGAUUUUAUUGCCCAAUCUCUUGGCUAACCCGUAGGUUUCGCCCUCAACAAACUCACCAACCAAAUCCCUACUAUCGGGGAGAUACCCGCUACAAUCCGACGGGACCAUCAUCUGGGGAGAUACUCGCUACGACUCAGUAAUGACAACUCCGGAGCACAUCGCCCGAGGAAAAGCUACCAUCCUCGAGCAAGGACUUACAGGUAAGUAUGAUCCAAUCCUUAACUAUAAGGAUGUUAAGUUCAAUCUAUUCCUUAACUAUAAGGAAACAAUACACAUAUGACCCUUAACUCUAAGGUUGUUAUGUCAUAAUGUUACAUCACUCUUUUACUUGCAUUCUUUACUUUUAUUAGUGUCAUUUACACUACUUGUUCUUUAUACUCGUUUUCAUGCACUCGUUUUGUUCUCACUAAUGCCACACACACUAAGUGUUCUCUUUCUAGCAUUCUUUAGCAUUGAUUAUAUUCAUUAAUGCCACUCAUACAUUUAUGUCAACAUGUCACUUUGUUUCUAAGUUUUCAUUGUUAUGUCAAAUGCCACAAUGUCACAAUUGCACAUGUAUAUACUUUUUAGCACAUUUCACAACUUUCCAUCAUGCAUACUUUCAUCUAGCAUACUCCACAAUGUCAACAUGUAUANAUGAAUGUUUGGUAUAUGUAUAUAGACAUAUAUUGGAAUAUGAUAAAUGAAUAUGCAUGUUCACAUUGUGGAGUAUGCUAGAUGAAAGUAUGAAUGAUGGAAAGUUGUGAAAUGUGCUAAAAAGUAUAUACAUAUACCAAACAUUCAUAUGCCAUCUAACAUGUUCCAUAAUUUAUCAACAUGCAUAUUACCUCUAACAUAUUCCUCAAUGUAUUAACAUGUUUAUCUCAAUGGUAGGUAAAACAUCAAGCAUAAUAAGGAUCAUGCAUCCAUAUUACCUUAUGCAACCUACCACUAUACAUAUAUGCAUUAAUAAUGAAAUAUUACUUUGCUUCGACAUGGAAGCGAGCUAGACAUUUCGGUGAGCACAACCCACCUCAAAUCGCUUUCUGAUUGCUUGUAGUCACUUGCAAUCGGCCUCCCACGGCACCUGUUGCCCGGUUCGGCCCGAACUCGCAUUCGACCGCCAAACAGCCACCAAUCCGUAAUCCGGAAAUUAAAGGUCUAUAACUUGAUACCACGAUGCUCCGAAUCCAUUCUCGUGAUUUUUGGACGUCGCCUCGGCGUUCCAGACGGAAACGAAGCCGAAACGUCUGUUUCUUUAAUAUCUUCGUACCGGCUAGACGAAUCGCCGAACCGACUUCGCCAACGCGUUCGUAUACCUAACAAUUAGGUUUACGUAGGGUUAAUUUAGAUCAAACCCAAACAUAAAGCAAAACUCUAUUUUUGAGCCCUAAGAUGCCCUAUUGUAAGAAAUCAUCACAUAAUCUCUUAAUUCAUGUAAUAGUCAUCCAUUUAGCAUCUAAGGGUUUCUCUAAAUCCAAUUCUAGAGCAUAUAAUUUAAAUCCUAGAAAUCCACCAUUUUAAACAUUGCCUCUACACAUGCUCCAAAUAACCCAAAUUAAAUGAAUUUAACAUGCCAACAACACAUUAGAGACUACUAGAACACUAAGUAUUAAGGAUUAAGCCAAAUCCCCAAAACUUACCAAAACGUAAACGUCAAGACGGAGGCACGCCGCUCAACCGGGCGCACGAAGGCCCGAUCCGACGCUCCCAACGCGUUCCCAAGCUUGCUUUCCACCAACCCUCAAAUUUGUAGAGAGAGAUCUAGAGAGAUGAUAGAGAUAUUUAGAGAGAGAAAGGGAGGGUUUCUCUCUCGCCCUCUCCAAACGUGUGUGGGCUGGUGGUGUGGCUCGGUUGAGGGAGAAGAAGAAGAAGACCACCUUUUAUACAAAACCCCCUCAACAUUACACUAUUCACAUUAGCAGAUUAGCAGCUUACAAACUGACGUUUUUCGUCGGAGCCCUUCUGAAUGUCCGUUUGCACUCAAAUUUGACAGUCAGGCUUGGUUUUACUUAACAAGUACAAAAAAAUUUUAAUCUUUCAGUUUCGACCAUGUUUGGUCAUCGAAAGCUCUACCGAACUGUAAUCUCUAGCAGAUAGCAGUCGGAUUUUAUUUUUCACCUUCCGAAUGUCAGAAUGACAUGAAACUUUAAAUCUAGCCUCAUAAAAAUAAUUUUGACAUAUUCUCCAAUUUUCAUAAUUUUCUGACACUGCAUUUUCUGCUAAAAUAUCAGUCCCGUUUCCAAUAGAAAAUUCUAAAUCUUCUGUUUCUGUUUCGAUUUUAGCACAAGUCGUUUCUGACUUAUGUUUUACUUCUCUAAAUCUAAUAAAAAUAGUAUCUCACACUAUUUUUAUUUAUCUUUACUUUAAUAUUAAAAUCUGGUAUGUUACAGGUACUCACCCGAUGUAGUACCUGUCACGCCCCGGAUGUCUCGUUCCCAGGGCACGCCGACAGAUCCGCCGUAUACAAAGGAAUUUCCCCUAUAUACGAAGCGACAGCUGUAGCCGUAAAUCCAACACUACUACGAACAGUAGUAGCGAGCUGCUAGAGAAAAACAGAAGCUAAACAAACUGAGUUUCAUAUACAUAGUCCAAAUCUAAAAUACAGAGCUACUCGCACUGGCGAGUUAAGUCUACUAUGUACAUAAACUCGAAACAAAACAUCUACCUGCAGUAGGGGCACCUCUAGCUCAGCACGUCGGGUAGGGCUCUAACUCGCGGCGCCCUUGCCUCGAUCCUGAUCCGCGGAAGGCGCAGUAGCCGAAACCUGUGGCUCUGCAAAACAGGGGUAACAACUGGGAGUGAGAACUACUGUAAAAACAAGUAGUCCUCAGUGGGUGCAGCCCAAACAACAUCGGUCCACCCACUAAGCUACAGAGGGGAGCCAGGAUAGUAGGAAAAGCAGAAAGUAAACACUACCGCUAUCAGUCACUACACUAUCAUGCUCUACACUAACCAACUGUAGGACAUGUCAAAUCUGACCCAAUCCAAUCGGGACUGUAAACAUACCCGUCCCUGGGACUGUGAAUACACCCGUCCCUGCCCAGUUGCGACUAUCCAGCUACCUCCACACUAACUGGUCCGUGGAGAGCAAGUCCAACCGGCAUGAGCGACACCAACGCAAAAGCACAAAGCCUGACUCCGGAGUGGCACUCGUGAGUGCUACCCAACCGAGUAUGCAGCGGAUCUCUGUCGAGCUCAAACAGGCUCUAAAAAGCCAAAGUCAAGAAAUCGACUCUAACUGGUCUAACAACCAACUGGUAACGUGCGUAAUCUUGUUUUCCAGAAAAAAGAUGUAGUCCUCUACUAUAUCACAAAAAUUAUAAUUGACAAUGUCAUAACUUUCUCUUAUGACAUUUUCAAUACUUUUAUAAUCAUCUAGCUUUGACUUACUUGCUGCACGUGUUGUUUUUGAAAAAUCUUUUCUGAACAACAAAAAUUAAGUGAAUAAACAAAUAUAGUGUAUACUAAGAUAUAAUGUCUAAACUAGUAAGACAAAUUAGUUAUAAAAUAUAUUACCUUUGAACGAAAAAAUUUUCACAUGAUGUCCAGUCACUUCCUCGCUAACAUAAAUAUUGUCAAGCGAAAAAUCAGGAUGACAAAUGCCCAUUAAAUGCGCGUAUUCAAGUCCGUCAGAAAUACCACUGAAAACAAAAAUAUUUAAAAGAAAAAAGAUAUUUUUAAAUUUAAUAAACAAAAAAUAUUCAUAUAAUAAUUAAUUCGAAACUUACCGAAGUAUUAAUUUGUUGUAUAUCUCGAAUAUACCGUACACGUGGUCUUUUUUAUUGACAAAUAAAUUAUUCUUAUAAUGUUUAAUAUAGUUCGUUAGUUUACAACUAAUAACUUCUGUGAUUACCGAGAAAUUUGCUGUGUGAUAAUUCUCGAACCGAAGUAUGUUUUGAUGGCUUAAAAUAUUUCCGAGAUUGUAACAAUCCAUCGAAAUAUGUUUUGUGACUAAAACUUCAAUUGUCUCCUGAAGAUGAUCAUCUUUGUACUGUCCAGUUCUAAAACCAAGAUUUUUUUCCGAAUACUUGUCAAGUGCUCUAUCAUCGAUAAUUAAUUUAUUUUCAAAGUCAUGCUGUCUCUCGCUUUGUAAGGAAACGGGUUUAAAAAUAUGAAUAUAAUUGACAACAAAAAAGUUGUUAAUUUUGUAGAUAAAUUACAAAUAUUACAAAAAAAAAAAUUCAAUCUCAAGAGAACUAUAAUCCCAAAUACAACUAUGUAGCAUAGGUUAGUUGUAUCUGGGCACAUAGUUUCUAACAUUGAGGAACUAAAAAUAAAUGUAGAAACUACGUGCUACAACAUAGGGCCUCCUUAGCCUAAUUUCUGGAAAAGUGAUUCCUACAGAAGUGAUUUUAGUUUGGAGAUAAAUUAAAUAUUGGCACGUGAAAUUUAAAAUUGCAUUUAUACCCUUUUGGAUUGUAGACCUAGUAUUUUUUAGUAUAAUGCCAUUAUAUUUUAAAAUCACUUAUAAAAAAGUAUAAAAUAAGACAAAAGAGUAUAGAGCAUAAACAUAUGGAUAUACCGAUACAUCAAGUGCAUGAAUAUACGUCAUCUUUUUUUUGUUUAGCAUAUUAUUGUAAUCGUUUUCCUAUUAUUGCAUGAUGUCUUAUAUGUUAUAUUAACCUACGUAGACUGUAAACAUACUAGUUCAUUAUGUAAACAAUGAGAUAUAUCAAAACAUGUGAAUUUUAUUACAGAUAAAAUUGCAGAUAAAAGUGUCAAUUGC